This 484-nucleotide ribosomal RNA is filed under the name uncultured bacterium. Its description in RNAcentral is "partial 16S ribosomal RNA". It matches the Rfam family "Bacterial small subunit ribosomal RNA", at positions 30 to 507 of the family's 1533-position model. The record is from RNAcentral.
AUUGAACGCUGGCGGCAGGCCUAACACAUGCAAGUCGAGCGGAUGAAGGGAGCUUGCUCCUGGAUUCAGCGGCGGACGGGUGAGUAAUGCCUAGGAAUCUGCCUGGUAGUGGGGGAUAACGUCCGGAAACGGGCGCUAACACCGCAUACGUCCUGAGGGAGAAAGUGGGGGAUCUUCGGACCUCACGCUAUCAGAUGAGCCUAGGUCGGAUUAGCUAGUUGGUGGGGUAAAGGCAUACCAAGGCGACGAUCCGUAACUGGUCUGAGAGGAUGAUCAGUCACACUGGAACUGAGACACGGUCCAGACUCCUACGAGAGGCAGCAGUGGGGAAUAUUGGACAAUGGGCGAAAGCCUGAUCCAGCCAUGCCGCGUGUGUGAAGAAGGUCUUCGGAUUGUAAAGCACUUUAAGUUGGGAGGAAGGGCAGUAAGUUAAUACCUUGCUGUUUUGACGUUACCAACAGAAUAAGCACCGGCUAACUUCGUG